CAGCUCCACACCCUUGUUCCAUGUUCUGGAUUGGGGAGUUGUGGGGGUGGAGGUGUAGAACUUUUAAAAAGCUUCUUAAAAUAAGUUGCUGUGAAUACUUCAGGUAUAUAAAAAAACAUUGGUUGACAAUAAGCCAGUGUUCUGCCAUUCUUACCUGCUUAUCAAGACAAAACCUGCUCAAGUCCCUGCCCAGCUGCAUUCCAAGUGUUUUCAAGUUUGGUGGUAAGACCUGACCUGAGGCUUCUUAUAACCUUUACUCAGUGGGAAUAUGCAUACAGUUCACUACAGAAAUAUUUGUAUUUACUUAGAGGAAGUGCCCUGGAUCUGGGGGCGGGGGGGGGCGGGGGGAAUGGGUCUUUUCUAAAUUGUUAAAAGCAGUUCAUGCCAUUAUUCUUAAUAAACAUUUCUAAUAUGCUGUGAAAGAG
Molecule: long non-coding RNA, 425 nt
Filed under: Homo sapiens (human)
Lineage: Eukaryota; Metazoa; Chordata; Mammalia; Primates; Hominidae
Description: long non-coding RNA NONHSAT222701
Source: RNAcentral